AGGACGAACGCUGGCGGCGCGCUUAACACAUGCAAGUCGAGCGAGAACCGGUCCUUCGGGACCGGGGAAAGCGGCGAACGGGUGAGUAACACGUGGGUAAUCAACCCUUGGUACCGGGAUAGCCCGAGGAAACUCGGAUUAAUACCGGAUGGCCCAACAGCUCUUCGGGGCGGUUGGAAAAGGUAGCUUCGGCCUCCGACCAAGGACGGGCCCGCGGCGGAUUAGCUUGUUGGUGGGGUAAUGGCCUACCAAGGCGACGAUCCGUAGCUGGUCUGAGAGGACGAUCAGCCACACUGGGACUGAGACACGGCCCAGACUCCUACGGGAGGCAGCAGUGGGAAUCUUGCGCAAUGGGCGAAAGCCUGACGCAGCGACGCCGCGUGGGGGAAGAAGGCUUUCGGGUUGUAAACCCCUUUCAGGUGGGACGAAGCCACUCGGGUUAAUAGCCCAGAGGGUGACGGUACCGCCAGAAGAAGCCCCGGCUAACUACGUGCCAGCAGCCGC
This 504-nucleotide ribosomal RNA is filed under the name uncultured bacterium. RNAcentral's name for it is "SSU rRNA". It matches the Rfam family "Bacterial small subunit ribosomal RNA", at positions 26 to 518 of the family's 1533-position model. The record is from RNAcentral.